ACAGGGAUUGCCCUAGUACGGCGAGUGAGCGGCACAGCUCAAAUUUGAAAUCUGGCGUCUUUGGCGUCCGAGUUGUAAUUUGCAGAGGGCGCUUUGGCAUUGGCAGCGGUCCAAGUUCCUUGGAACAGGACGUCACAGAGGGUGAGAAUCCCGUACGUGGUCGCUAGCCUCUACCGUGUAAAGCCCCUUCGACGAGUCGAGUUGUUUGGGAAUGCAGCUCUAAAUGGGAGGUAAAUUUCUUCUAAAGCUAAAUACUGGCCAGAGACCGAUAGCGCACAAGUAGAGUGAUCGAAAGAUGAAAAGCACUUUGGAAAGAGAGUUAAAAAGCACGUGAAAUUGUUGAAAGGGAAGCGCUUGCAGCCAGACUUGCCUGUAGUUGCUCAUCCGGGUUUCUACCCGGUGCACUCUUCUAUAGGCAGGCCAGCAUCAGUUUGGGCGGUUGGAUAAAGGUCUCUGUCAUGUACCUCCUCUCGGGGAGAACUUAUAGGGGAGACGACAUGCAACCAGCCUGGACUGAGGUCCGCGCAUCUGCUAGGAUGCUGGCGUAAUGGCUGUAAGCGGCCCGUCUUGAAACACGGACCAAGGAGUCUAACAUCUAUGCGAGUGUUUGGGUGUCAAGCCCGAACGCGUAAUGAAAGUGAACGGAGGUGGGAACCUUUCGGGGUGCACCAUCGACCGAUCCUGAUGUCUUCGGAUGGAUUUGAGUAAGAGCAUAGCUGUUGGGACCCGAAAGAUGGUGAACUAUGCUUGAAUAGGGUGAAGCCAGAGGAAACUCUGGUGGAGGCUCGCAGCGGUUCUGACGUGCAAAUCGAUCGUCAAAUUUGGGCAUAGGGGCGAAAGACUAAUCGAACUAUCUAGUAGCUGGUUCCUGCCGAAGUUUCCCUCAGGAUAGCAGUAACGUUUUCAGUUUUAUGAGGUAAAGCGAAUGAUUAGAGGCCUGGGGGUUGAAACAACCUU
Molecule: ribosomal RNA, 957 nt
Filed under: Stagonosporopsis sambucella
Lineage: Eukaryota; Fungi; Ascomycota; Dothideomycetes; Pleosporales; Didymellaceae
Description: partial large subunit ribosomal RNA
Rfam family: Eukaryotic large subunit ribosomal RNA
Source: RNAcentral